This 941-nucleotide ribosomal RNA is filed under the name Metabacillus galliciensis. RNAcentral describes it as "bacterial SSU rRNA". It matches the Rfam family "Bacterial small subunit ribosomal RNA", at positions 367 to 1298 of the family's 1533-position model. The record is from RNAcentral. Lineage: Bacteria; Bacillati; Bacillota; Bacilli; Caryophanales; Bacillaceae.
CGCAAUGGACGAAAGUCUGACGGAGCAACGCCGCGUGAGUGAUGAAGGCCUUCGGGUCGUAAAGCUCUGUUGUUAGGGAAGAACAAGUACCGUUCAAAUAGGGCGGUACCAUGACGGUACCUAACCAGAAAGCCACGGCUAACUACGUGCCAGCAGCCGCGGUAAUACGUAGGUGGCAAGCGUUGUCCGGAAUUAUUGGGCGUAAAGGGCUCGCAGGCGGUUCCUUAAGUCUGAUGUGAAAGCCCACGGCUCAACCGUGGAGGGUCAUUGGAAACUGGGGAACUUGAGUACAGAAGAGGAGAGUGGAAUUCCACGUGUAGCGGUGAAAUGCGUAGAGAUGUGGAGGAACACCAGUGGCGAAGGCGACUCUCUGGUCUGUAACUGACGCUGAGGAGCGAAAGCGUGGGGAGCGAACAGGAUUAGAUACCCUGGUAGUCCACGCCGUAAACGAUGAGUGCUAAGUGUUAGAGGGUUUCCGCCCUUUAGUGCUGCAGCAAACGCAUUAAGCACUCCGCCUGGGGAGUACGGUCGCAAGACUGAAACUCAAAGGAAUUGACGGGGGCCCGCACAAGCGGUGGAGCAUGUGGUUUAAUUCGAAGCAACGCGAAGAACCUUACCAGGUCUUGACAUCCCAUGACAACUCUAGAGAUAGAGCGUUCCCCUUCGGGGGACAUGGUGACAGGUGGUGCAUGGUUGUCGUCAGCUCGUGUCGUGAGAUGUUGGGUUAAGUCCCGCAACGAGCGCAACCCUUGAUCUUAGUUGCCAGCAUUUAGUUGGGCACUCUAAGGUGACUGCCGGUGACAAACCGGAGGAAGGUGGGGAUGACGUCAAAUCAUCAUGCCCCUUAUGACCUGGGCUACACACGUGCUACAAUGGAUGGUACAAAGGGCUGCGAGACUGCGAAGUUAAGCGAAUCCCAUAAAACCAUUCUCAGUUCGGAU